UCCUACGGGAGGCAGCAGUGGGGAAUAUUGCACAAUGGGCGCAAGCCUGAUGCAGCCAUGCCGCGUGUAUGAAGAAGGCCUUCGGGUUGUAAAGUACUUUCAGCAGUGAGGAAGGAGGUAUCGUUAAUAGCGGUAUCUUUUGACGUUAGCUGCAGAAGAAGCACCGGCUAACUCCGUGCCAGCAGCCGCGGUAAUACGGAGGGUGCGAGCGUUAAUCGGAAUUACUGGGCGUAAAGCGCAUGCAGGUGGUUUGUUAAGUCAGAUGUGAAAGCCCGGGGCUCAACCUCGGAAUUGCAUUUGAAACUGGCAGGCUAGAGUACUGUAGAGGGGGGUAGAAUUUCAGGUGUAGCGGUGAAAUGCGUAGAGAUCUGAAGGAAUACCGGUGGCGAAGGCGGCCCCCUGGACAGAUACUGACACUCAGAUGCGAAAGCGUGGGGAGCAAACAGGAUUAGAUACCCUGGUAGUCCACGCCGUAAACGAUGUCUACUUGGAGGUUGUGGCCUUGAGCCGUGGCUUUCGGAGCUAACGCGUUAAGUAGACCGCCUGGGGAGUACGGUCGCAAGAUUAAAACUCAAAUGAAUUGACGGGGGCCCGCACAAGCGGUGGAGCAUGUGGUUUAAUUCGAUGCAACGCGAAGAACCUUACCUACUCU
Molecule: ribosomal RNA, 652 nt
Filed under: Vibrio fluvialis
Lineage: Bacteria; Pseudomonadati; Pseudomonadota; Gammaproteobacteria; Vibrionales; Vibrionaceae
Description: bacterial SSU rRNA
Rfam family: Bacterial small subunit ribosomal RNA
Source: RNAcentral